AGCUUUGCGCAGUGGCAGUAUCGUAGCCAAUGAGGUUUAUCCGAGGCGCGAUUAUUGCUAAUUCAAAAAAUGUAGGAGGAGGAGAGAGGGACUUGAGUAAGAUGAGUUCCAUACUACUAAAAAGUCUAUGCUUCUUGAUCUUUUAAUAUAAUUGAUUA
RNAcentral lists this small nuclear RNA (158 nucleotides) under Neogale vison (American mink). Its description in RNAcentral is "Neovison vison (American mink) U4 spliceosomal RNA (ENSNVIG00000001263.1)". The stretch from base 1 to 74 matches the Rfam family "U4 spliceosomal RNA". Lineage: Eukaryota; Metazoa; Chordata; Mammalia; Carnivora; Mustelidae. The record is from RNAcentral.